This is a long non-coding RNA of Sitodiplosis mosellana (orange wheat blossom midge), 425 nucleotides long. RefSeq lists it as uncharacterized. Lineage: Eukaryota; Metazoa; Arthropoda; Insecta; Diptera; Cecidomyiidae. The record is from RefSeq and is a predicted model, not a curated record. The transcript is spliced from 3 exons.
UAAUCCGAGAUGAAUACAGUUUCUAUAACGGACUUGAAUUAUUCAAUGAUCUGCCAAACGAAAUCAAACAGUGGCGCUGAAUGUUUUCAAAGUAUUUUGUGGUAAUUUUGAUUCGGCAUAAUCGGACAUAGAGGAUAAACGAAAAUUUAAUGUCAUCAUGUAUCGGACGCGCAGACCUAAGCGAAUAUUCAAACGAUCUCCAUAUAAAGUUUGAAAAGGCUUAAAAAGAUUUUCCACAACGAAGCAAACAAACGAAUGAAUGGAACUUGAAUCUUUCAUAUGCAUCUUGCAGAAGUGAAACAAAAAUAGAACACACAUAGCACCAGAAAAAAAGAACAUUGAAACCUUCUCUAUCAAAACGUCUUUCAAAUUUUGGUUGUCGUUCAUAUAGAAUCGACGGCGACAAUGGUAAGAUAACCAAGCAA